CAGUGUUUAGUCUAGUGGUAUGAUUCUCGCUUUGGGUGCGAGAGGUCGCUAGUUCAUUUCUCACAUCGCCCC
This 72-nucleotide transfer RNA is filed under the name Hordeum vulgare. RNAcentral describes it as "tRNA-OTHER". The record is from RNAcentral. Lineage: Eukaryota; Viridiplantae; Streptophyta; Magnoliopsida; Poales; Poaceae.